Molecule: transfer RNA, 70 nt
Filed under: Dipodomys ordii (Ord's kangaroo rat)
Lineage: Eukaryota; Metazoa; Chordata; Mammalia; Rodentia; Heteromyidae
Rfam family: tRNA
About the family: Transfer RNA (tRNA) molecules are approximately 80 nucleotides in length. Their secondary structure includes four short double-helical elements and three loops (D, anti-codon, and T loops). Further hydrogen bonds mediate the characteristic L-shaped molecular structure. tRNAs have two regions of fundamental functional importance: the anti-codon, which is responsible for specific mRNA codon recognition, and the 3' end, to which the tRNAs corresponding amino acid is attached (by aminoacyl-tRNA synthetases). tRNAs cope with the degeneracy of the genetic code in two manners: having more than one tRNA (with a specific anti-codon) for a particular amino acid; and 'wobble' base-pairing, i.e. permitting non-standard base-pairing at the 3rd anti-codon position.
Source: Rfam by way of RNAcentral
GGGAAUGUGGCCUAGUGGCAGAGUGCUUGCCUAGCAAGCAAGAAACCUUGGGUUCGAUUCCUUAGUACCA